UACGUAGGGGGCAAGCGUUAUCCGGAAUUACUGGGUGUAAAGGGAGCGUAGACGGUGAUGUAAGUCUGGAGUGAAAGGCGGGGGCCCAACCCCCGGACUGCUCUGGAAACUAUAUGACUGGAGUGCAGGAGAGGUGAGCGGAAUUCCUAGUGUAGCGGUGAAAUGCGUAGAUAUUAGGAGGAACACCAGUGGCGAAGGCGGCUCACUGGACUGUAACUGACGUUGAGGCUCGAAAGCGUGGGGAGCAAACAGG
This 253-nucleotide ribosomal RNA is filed under the name uncultured bacterium. Its description in RNAcentral is "partial 16S ribosomal RNA". It matches the Rfam family "Bacterial small subunit ribosomal RNA", at positions 524 to 776 of the family's 1533-position model. The record is from RNAcentral.